Molecule: ribosomal RNA, 2706 nt
Filed under: Flavobacterium columnare
Lineage: Bacteria; Pseudomonadati; Bacteroidota; Flavobacteriia; Flavobacteriales; Flavobacteriaceae
Description: 23S ribosomal RNA
Rfam family: Bacterial large subunit ribosomal RNA
Source: RNAcentral
ACAAUAAGCAAAAUAAGGGCGUAUGGGGGAUGCCUAGGCUCUCAGAGGCGAAGAAGGACGUGAUAAGCUGCGAAAAGCUGCGGGGAUUGGCACAUACGAAUUGAUCCGCAGAUAUCCCAAUGGGGCAACCCACUAUGUUGAAGACAUAGUAUCCAAUAGGAGGCGAACCCGCUGAACUGAAACAUCUAAGUAGGCGGAGGAGAAGAAAACAAAAGUGAUUGCGUAAGUAGUGGCGAGCGAAAGCGCAUUAGCCCAAACCAGUGUUGUUACGGCAAUACUGGGGUUGUAGGACCACAAUAUUUCUUGUAAACCGAAUUAGAAUAACCUGGAAAGGUUAACCACAGAGGGUGAUAGUCCCGUAUAAGUAAGGAAUAUAAAGGAUAGUGGUAUCCUGAGUAGGGCGGGGCACGUGAAACCCUGUCUGAAUCUGGCGGGACCAUCCGCUAAGGCUAAAUACUCCUGAGAGACCGAUAGUGAACCAGUACUGUGAAGGAAAGGUGAAAAGAACCGUGAAUAACGGAGUGAAAUAGAACCUGAAACCAUACGCCUACAAGCGGUCGGAGCAGCAAAAGCUGUGACGGCGUGCCUUUUGCAUAAUGAGCCUACGAGUUAACGUUGCUGGCAAGGUUAAGCACUUCAGGUGCGGAUCCGUAGCGAAAGCGAGUCUGAAUAGGGCGCUUGAGUCAGUAAUGUUAGACGCGAAACCGUGUGAUCUACCCAUGGGCAGGAUGAAGCUGUGGUAACACAUAGUGGAGGUCCGAACCGGUUGACGUUGAAAAGUCUUCGGAUGACCUGUGGGUAGGGCUGAAAGGCCAAUCAAACUCGGAAAUAGCUCGUACUCCCCGAAAUGCAUUUAGGUGCAGCGCAGUGGUAGAGUUAUAUAGAGGUAGAGCUACUGAUUGGAUGCGGGGGCUUCACCGCCUACCAAUUCCUGACAAACUCCGAAUGCUAUAUAAUAUACACAGCAGUGAGGGCUGGGGUGCUAAGGUCCCAGUCCGAGAGGGAAAGAACCCAGACCAUCAGCUAAGGUCCCCAAAUGUAUACUAAGUUGAUCAAACGCGGUUUGAUUGCAUCGACAGCUAGGAUGUUGGCUUGGAAGCAGCCAUUCAUUUAAAGAGUGCGUAACAGCUCACUAGUCGAGCGAUCGAGCAUGGAUAAUAAUCGGGCAUAAGUAUACUACCGAAGCUAUGGAUUUGACAAAAGUCAAGUGGUAGGGGAGCAUUCUAACAUCGUAGAAGGGAUUCCGUGAGGAUUUCUGGAGAGGUUAGAAAAGAAAAUGUAGGCAUAAGUAACGAUAAGGGGUGCGAGAAACACCCCCGCCGUAAAACUAAGGUUUCCGCAGCUAUGCUAAUCAGCUGCGGCUUAGUCGGGACCUAAGGCGAAUCCGAAAGGAACAGUCGAUGGCCGGAUAGUGUACCUAAAGGCUGCCAAGAAAACCUUCUAAACAUAGAUUAUAAGUACCCGUACCGUAAACCGACACAGGUAGUUGAGGAGAGUAUCCUAAGGCGCUCGAGAGAUUCAUGGCUAAGGAAUUAGGCAAAAUAGACCUGGUACUUCGGGAGAAAGGUCGCCAGCGCAAGCUGGCCGCAGUGAAAAGGUCCAGGCGACUGUUUAUCAAAAACACAGGGCUCUGCCAAAUCGUAAGAUGAAGUAUAGGGCCUGACACCGUGCUGGAAGGUUAAGAGGAGAUGUUAUGAGCAAUCAGAAGCAUUGAAUUGAAGCCCCAGUAAACGGCGGCCGUAACUAUAACGGUCCUAAGGUAGCGAAAUUCCUUGUCGGGUAAGUUCCGACCUGCACGAAUGGUGUAACGAUCUGGACACUGUCUCAGCCAUGAGCUCGGUGAAAUUGUAGUAUCGGUGAAGAUGCCGAUUACCCGCAGUGGGACGAAAAGACCCUGUGCACCUUUACUAUAGCUUAGUAUUGACCUUGGAUAAGUGAUGUGUAGGAUAGGUGGGAGACUGUGAAAUGGCGUCGCUAGGCGUUGUGGAGUCAUUGUUGAAAUACCACCCUUUGCUUAUCUGAGGCCUAACUCCAUAUUGUGGAGGACAUUGCUUGGUGGGUAGUUUGACUGGGGUGGUCGCCUCCAAAAGAGUAACGGAGGCUUCUAAAGGUUCCCUCAGCACGCUUGGUAACCGUGCGUAGAGUGCAAUGGCAUAAGGGAGCUUGACUGAGAGACAUACAGGUCGAUCAGGUACGAAAGUAGAGCAUAGUGAUCCGGUGGUUCCGCAUGGAAGGGCCAUCGCUCAAAGGAUAAAAGGUACGCCGGGGAUAACAGGCUGAUCUCCCCCAAGAGCUCAUAUCGACGGGGGGGUUUGGCACCUCGAUGUCGGCUCGUCACAUCCUGGGGCUGGAGAAGGUCCCAAGGGUUGGGCUGUUCGCCCAUUAAAGUGGCACGCGAGCUGGGUUCAGAACGUCGUGAGACAGUUCGGUCUCUAUCUACUGUGGGCGUUAGAAAUUUGAGUGGAUCUGACUCUAGUACGAGAGGACCGAGUUGGACCAACCGCUGGUGUAUCUGUUGUUCCGCCAGGAGCACCGCAGAGUAGCUACGUUGGGAAGGGAUAAGCGCUGAAAGCAUAUAAGCGCGAAACCCACCACAAGAUGAGAUUUCUUUUAAGGGUCGUGGAAGAUGACCACGUUGAUAGGCUAUAGAUGUAAAGGCAGUAAUGUCACAGUCAAGUAGUACUAAUAACCCGUAAGCUUAUUGUA